AACGAACGCUGGCGGCAUGCCUAACACAUGCGAGUCGAACGAGACCUUCGGACCUAGUGGCGCACGGGUGUGUAACGCGUGGGAACCUGCCCUUAGGUUCGGAAUAACACCCCGAAAGGGGUGCUAAUACCGGAUAAUGUCUUCGGACCAAAGAUUUAUCGCCUUUGGAUGGGCCCGCGUUGGAUUAGCUAGUUGGUAGGGUAAAAGCCUACCAAGGCGACGAUCCAUAGCUGGUCUGAGAGGAUGAUCAGCCACACUGAGACUGAGACACGGCCCAGACUCCUACGGGAGGCAGCAGUGGCGAAUCUUGGACAAUGGGCUAAAGCCUGAAUCAGCACUGCCGCGAGAGUGAUGAAGGCCUUAAGGUUGUACAGCUCUUUUACCCGGGAGGAUUAUGACAGUACCCGGAGAAUAAGCACCGGCUAACUCCGUG
Molecule: ribosomal RNA, 433 nt
Filed under: uncultured bacterium
Lineage: Bacteria
Description: partial 16S ribosomal RNA
Rfam family: Bacterial small subunit ribosomal RNA
Source: RNAcentral